CCUGGAGUGGGGGACAACUCUCGAAAGGAGGGCUAAUACCGCAUGUAGAUCUUCGGAUCAAAGGUGGCUUCGCUACCGCUCCUGGAUGGGCUCGCGGCCUAUCAGCUUGUUGGUGAGGUAACGGCUCACCAAGGCUAUGACGGGUAGCUGGUCUGAGAGGACGAUCAGCCUCACUGGAACUGAGACACGGUCCAGACACCUACGGGUGGCAGCAGUCGAGAAUCAUUCACAAUGGGCGAAAGCCUGAUGGUGCACGCCGCGUGGAGGAUGACGGCCCUAGGGUUG
Molecule: ribosomal RNA, 285 nt
Filed under: uncultured Verrucomicrobiota bacterium
Lineage: Bacteria; Pseudomonadati; Verrucomicrobiota
Description: uncultured Verrucomicrobia bacterium partial 16S ribosomal RNA
Rfam family: Bacterial small subunit ribosomal RNA
Source: RNAcentral